This 492-nucleotide ribosomal RNA is filed under the name uncultured bacterium. RNAcentral describes it as "partial 16S ribosomal RNA". It matches the Rfam family "Bacterial small subunit ribosomal RNA", at positions 29 to 507 of the family's 1533-position model. The record is from RNAcentral.
AGUGAACGCUGGCGGCAUGCCUAACACAUGCAAGUCGAACGACAACACAGUAAGCUCUUGCCCUUACGGGUGGCGACUGACGGAUGAGUGACGCAUACAUCGGAUUCUUCUUUUACGUGGGUGAUAACGUGGGGCCGGUUCUGCUACUGCCGCAUACUACCUACGGCAUGAUUCAAUGGUUCUACGUGCCUUUGCUGACUCUUAUAGCCGGUGCCGGAUUAGCUAGUUGGCUGGGUAAAGGCUCACCAAGGCGACGAUCCGUAGCGGGUCUGAGAGGAUGAUCAGCCACACUGGAACUGAGACACGGUCCAGACUCCUACGGGAGGCAGCAGUGGGGAAUAUUGGACAAUGGGCGCAAGCCUGAUCCAGCCAUACCGCGUGAGUGAAGAAGGCCUUCGGGUUGUAAAGCCCUUUUGUUGGGGAAGAACAGCAGUAGAUUAAUACGCGGCUGUUCUGACGGUACCUAAAGAAUAAGCACCGGCUAACUUCGUG